This is a transfer RNA of Ovis aries (sheep), 72 nucleotides long. It matches the Rfam family "tRNA". Rfam says of the family: Transfer RNA (tRNA) molecules are approximately 80 nucleotides in length. Their secondary structure includes four short double-helical elements and three loops (D, anti-codon, and T loops). Lineage: Eukaryota; Metazoa; Chordata; Mammalia; Artiodactyla; Bovidae. The record is from Rfam.
UCUCUUGUGGCUUAGCUGGUAAAGCAUUUGCCUGCAAUGCAGGAGACCUGGGUUCAAGCCCUGGGUUGGGAA